AACGAACGCUGGCGGCAUGCCUAACACAUGCAAGUCGAACGAGACCUUCGGGUCUAGUGGCGCACGGGUGCGUAACGCGUGGGAACCUGCCCUUAGGUUCGGAAUAACUCCCCGAAAGGGGUGCUAAUACCGGAUAAUGUCUUCGGACCAAAGAUUUAUCGCCUUUGGAUGGGCCCGCGUUGGAUUAGCUAGUUGGUAGGGUAAAAGCCUACCGAGGCGACGAUCCAUAGCUGGUCUGAGAGGAUGAUCAGCCACACUGGGACUGAGACACGGCCCAGACUCCUACGGGAGGCAGCAGUGGGGAAUAUUGGACAAUGGGCGAAAGCCUGAUCCAGCAAUGCCGCGUGAGUGAUGAAGGCCUUAGGGUUGUAAAGCUCUUUUACCCGGGAUGAUAAUGACAGUACCGGGAGAAUAAGCUCCGGCUAACUCCGU
RNAcentral lists this ribosomal RNA (432 nucleotides) under uncultured bacterium. Its description in RNAcentral is "partial 16S ribosomal RNA". It matches the Rfam family "Bacterial small subunit ribosomal RNA", at positions 29 to 506 of the family's 1533-position model. The record is from RNAcentral.